AAGUCGUAACAAGGUUUCCGUAGGUGAACCUGCGGAAGGAUCAUUAAAGAGUGUCGAGCUUCACAGCUCUUAUUCUCACCCUUUGUAUAUCAAACUUGUUGCUUUGGCAGGCGCCUUUAGGGCCUGCCAGAGGACCCGGAAACCCUAGAAUCUCUGCCGUCUGAGUCACUAAUAUAAUAGUUAAAA
RNAcentral lists this unclassified non-coding RNA (186 nucleotides) under plant metagenome. Its description in RNAcentral is "partial contains small subunit ribosomal RNA and internal transcribed spacer 1". The stretch from base 1 to 46 matches the Rfam family "Eukaryotic small subunit ribosomal RNA", at positions 1786 to 1831 of the family's 1831-position model. The record is from RNAcentral.